UACGGGGGGAGCAAGCGUUGUUCGGAUUUACUGGGCGUAAAGGGCGCGUAGGCGGUCAGCACAAGUCAGUUGUGAAAUCUCCGGGCUUAACUCGGAAAGGUCAACUGAUACUGUGCGACUAGAGUGCAGAAGGGGCAACUGGAAUUCUCGGUGUAGCGGUGAAAUGCGUAGAUAUUGGGAGGAACACCAGUGGCGAAGGCGGCUCACUGGACCGGUACUGACGCUGAGGCGCGAAAGCGUGGGUAGCAAACAGG
RNAcentral lists this ribosomal RNA (254 nucleotides) under uncultured bacterium. RNAcentral describes it as "partial 16S ribosomal RNA". It matches the Rfam family "Bacterial small subunit ribosomal RNA", at positions 524 to 776 of the family's 1533-position model. The record is from RNAcentral.